Molecule: long non-coding RNA, 380 nt
Filed under: Populus trichocarpa (black cottonwood)
Lineage: Eukaryota; Viridiplantae; Streptophyta; Magnoliopsida; Malpighiales; Salicaceae
Description: long non-coding RNA (PTRI_LNC001775)
Source: RNAcentral
AGUUCGAUGUGGAGGAUGAACAUAAUGACCAAGUCUAUGAUUCGGAUUUUUCAUCAGAAGGUAGAAAGUCAUCUUCUCAUUUGUUAGCAAAUGCAGAUGCUUGGGGCCGUACGGAAAACAUGGAUGAGUUUCGAGGAAAGUCCAGUUCGCAGACACCGUUGACCUCGGCAUUCUUUUCUCAAGAUUUUACCACUGACCCUGUUCCUUCCCAACCACAUGAGACACCGUUGACCUCGGCAUUCUUUUCUCAAGAUUUUACCACUGACCCUGUUCCUUCCCAACCACAUGACUUGUUACCCAUGACUUUUGAUGAUUCUGACAGCGUAAGUUCAGAGAGGGAAGUGGAUCUGGAUACCUAUGAGGUGGUUGGUGGUUCAAGU